AGAGUUUGAUCUUGGCUCAGGACGAACGCUGGCGGCGUGCCUAAUACAUGCAAGUCGAGCGCGGGAAGCAAACUCUGCCCUUCGGGGCGUAAGUUUGUGGAACGAGCGGCGGACGGGUGAGUAACACGUGGGCAACCUGCCUGUAAGACUGGGAUAACCCCGGGAAACCGGGGCUAAUACCGGAUAACACUUUUCAUCACAUGGUGAGAAGUUGAAAGGCGGCACUAGCUGUCACUUACAGAUGGGCCCGCGGCGCAUUAGCUAGUUGGUGGGGUAAUGGCCUACCAAGGCAACGAUGCGUAGCCGACCUGAGAGGGUGAUCGGCCACACUGGGACUGAGACACGGCCCAGACUCCUACGGGAGGCAGCAGUAGGGAAUCUUCCGCAAUGGACGAAAGUCUGACGGAGCAACGCCGCGUGAGUGAUGAAGGUUUUCGGAUCGUAAAACUCUGUUGUUAGGGAAGAACAAGUACCGUUCAAAUAGGGCGGUACCUUGACGGUACCUAACCAGAAAGCCCCGGCUAACUACGUGCCAGCAGCCGCGGUAAUACGUAGGGGGCAAGCGUUGUCCGGAAUUAUUGGGCGUAAAGCGCGCGCAGGCGGUCUUUUAAGUCUGAUGUGAAAGCCCACGGCUUAACCGUGGAGGGUCAUUGGAAACUGGAGGACUUGAGUACAGAAGAGGAGAGUGGAAUUCCACGUGUAGCGGUGAAAUGCGUAGAGAUGUGGAGGAACACCAGUGGCGAAGGCGACUCUCUGGUCUGUAACUGACGCUGAGGCGCGAAAGCGUGGGGAGCGAACAGGAUUAGAUACCCUGGUAGUCCACGCCGUAAACGAUGAGUGCUAGGUGUUAGGGGGUUUCCGCCCCUUAGUGCUGAAGUUAACGCAUUAAGCACUCCGCCUGGGGAGUACGGCCGCAAGGCUGAAACUCAAAAGAAUUGACGGGGGCCCGCACAAGCGGUGGAGCAUGUGGUUUAAUUCGAAGCAACGCGAAGAACCUUACCAGGUCUUGACAUCCUCUGAACACGGUAGAGAUAUCGUUUUCCCUUCGGGGACAGAGUGACAGGUGGUGCAUGGUUGUCGUCAGCUCGUGUCGUGAGAUGUUGGGUUAAGUCCCGCAACGAGCGCAACCCUUGAUCUUAGUUGCCAGCAUUAAGUUGGGCACUCUAAGGUGACUGCCGGUGACAAACCGGAGGAAGGUGGGGAUGACGUCAAAUCAUCAUGCCCCUUAUGACCUGGGCUACACACGUGCUACAAUGGAUGGAACAAAGGGCAGCGAAGCCGCGAGGUGAAGCAAAUCCCAUAAAACCAUUCUCAGUUCGGAUUGUAGGCUGCAACUCGCCUACAUGAAGCCGGAAUCGCUAGUAAUCGCGGAUCAGCAUGCCGCGGUGAAUACGUUCCCGGGCCUUGUACACACCGCCCGUCACACCACGAGAGUUGGCAACACCCGAAGUCGGUGAGGUAACCUUUUGGAGCCAGCCGCCGAAGGUGGGGCCAAUGAUUGGGGUGAAGUCGUAACAAGGUAGCCGUAUCGGAAGGUGCGGCUGGAUCACCU
This 1552-nucleotide ribosomal RNA is filed under the name Virgibacillus ndiopensis. RNAcentral's name for it is "16S ribosomal RNA". It matches the Rfam family "Bacterial small subunit ribosomal RNA". The record is from RNAcentral. Lineage: Bacteria; Bacillati; Bacillota; Bacilli; Caryophanales; Bacillaceae.